AAUGUGUCCAAGACAGCCUAGAAAAAUUAAUGCUCUUAAUUAAGCACGACAGCAUAAGAGGAGUAGAAAUUGCCGCACAAAUCGACUGAAAUUUCUCAUAACGGUGUAAGAGGAAUUCAUUAGGAAACAAAACGACGGAACAUUGAAACAACCUUAAAUAAAUAAGAACAAAUAUAAAAGUGUAGUUUACGAAGACAAAAUGCCUCGUGAAACCGACAGAUGAAAAACAACGUGAAACCGAAAAUAUGUGAAUAAAAAAUGAACAACAUAGAACAACAGUAAUGAAAAUGAAAAUAUAAAAACAAAGAACAAAAGCAAAGAAUAAAAAAGGAGAAACGACUGGAGUAAAUAAGAGAAGAAUCCAGAAGAAGUAAUUUAAAGUUGCUUCCAUUGUUCAAUUAUUCGAAGAGCUGUUUGAAGUUCCUCAGCUACAGCAACAACAUUUUUCCG
Non-coding RNA from Schizosaccharomyces pombe (fission yeast), 450 nucleotides. Lineage: Eukaryota; Fungi; Ascomycota; Schizosaccharomycetes; Schizosaccharomycetales; Schizosaccharomycetaceae. The record is from the annotation of a GenBank genome assembly.